CUAUAAACUAGAUGUGGGGUAACAUCUCCAAGACGUGAUCAUGUAGAUGCAAAUCACGUUCAGUAUGACGUCUCAUUUGCUUUAAAAGCUAGCUGUGUGAUGUGUUGACAGCCCUAUAACUUAUCAAUUAUCAAGGAUAGAGGAGCCCUUGCCCUGCCUGAAAGAAUCCCUGCGGAACUCGACGCUGGACUUGGCCAGUGGAUAUUGGUAGGUCCGGGUGGAUCCGAGAGACCAAGAGAAGACAGCCUUCACCACGCCUCUUGAUCUCUAUAAGAUCGAACGGAUGCCCGUCGCUCUGUGUAAUGCCCCUGCCACAUUCCAGCAUCUGAUGCAGCCGUGCCUCUGGCAAUAGGUGUCUCCGGAAGGUGGUGAUUGACUCCGCUGUCCUGGCGUCGUGAGGGAGCUUGUUCCACCAUUGGGGUGCCAGAGCAGCGAACAGUUUUGACUGGGCUGAGCGGGAACUGUGCUUCCUCAGAGGUAGGGAGGCGAGCAGGCCAGAGGUGGAUGAACGCAGUGCCCUUGUUUGGGUGUAGGGCCUGAUCAGAGCCUGAAGGUACGGAGGUGCCGUUCCCCUCACAGCUCCGUAGGCAAGCACCAUGGUCUUGUAGCAGAUGCGAGCUUCAACUGGAAGCCAGUGGAGAGAGCGGAGGAGCGGGGUGACGUGAGAGAACUUGGGAAGGUUGAACACCAGACGGGCUGCGGCGUUCUGGAUGAGUUGUAGGGGUUUAAUGGCACAGGCAGGGAGCUCAGCCAACAGCGAGUUGCAGUAAUCCAGACAGGAGAUGACAAGUGCCUGGAUUAGGACCUGCGCCGCUUCCUGUGUGAGGCAGGGUCGUACUCUGCGAAUGUUGUAGAGCAUGAACCUACAGGAUCGGGUCACCGCCUUGAUGUUAGUGGAGAACGACAGGGUGUUCUCCAUGUGUAUGUGACCAGUAAAAUUUGAUUUUAUUUGAUUUUAUAAAGUAUUGACUCAGGG
RNAcentral lists this long non-coding RNA (976 nucleotides) under Salmo salar (Atlantic salmon). RNAcentral describes it as "lncRNA (ENSSSAG00000094919.1, ENSSSAG00000116659.1)". Lineage: Eukaryota; Metazoa; Chordata; Actinopteri; Salmoniformes; Salmonidae. The record is from RNAcentral.